RNAcentral lists this ribosomal RNA (253 nucleotides) under uncultured bacterium. RNAcentral describes it as "partial 16S ribosomal RNA". It matches the Rfam family "Bacterial small subunit ribosomal RNA", at positions 524 to 776 of the family's 1533-position model. The record is from RNAcentral.
UACGGAGGGUGCAAGCGUUAUCCGGAUUCACUGGGUUUAAAGGGUGCGUAGGCGGACAGGUAAGUCAGUGGUGAAAUCUCUGGGCUUAACCCAGAAACUGCCGUUGAUACUAUUUGUCUUGAAUAUCCUGGAGGUAGGCGGAAUAUGUCAUGUAGCGGUGAAAUGCUUAGAUAUGAUAUAGAACACCAAUUGCGAAGGCAGGUUACUGAGCCACAACUGACGCUGAGGCACGAAAGCGUGGGGAUCAAACAGG